This 447-nucleotide ribosomal RNA is filed under the name uncultured bacterium. Its description in RNAcentral is "bacterial SSU rRNA". It matches the Rfam family "Bacterial small subunit ribosomal RNA", at positions 355 to 825 of the family's 1533-position model. The record is from RNAcentral.
UGGGGAAUCUUGCGCAAUGGGCGAAGGCCUGACGCAGCCAUGCCGCGUGAAUGAUGAAGGUCUUAGGAUUGUAAAAUUCUUUCACCGGGGACGAUAAUGACGGUACCCGGAGAAGAAGCCCCGGCUAACUUCGUGCCAGCAGCCGCGGUAAUACGAAGGGGGCUAGCGUUGCUCGGAAUUACUGGGCGUAAAGGGAGCGUAGGCGGAUAGUUUAGUCAGAGGUGAAAGCCCAGGGCUCAACCUUGGAAUUGCCCUUGAUACUGGCUAUCUUGAGUACGGAAGAGGUAUGUGGAACUCCGAGUGUAGAGGUGAAAUUCGUAGAUAUUCGGAAGAACACCAGUGGCGAAGGCGACAUACUGGUCCGUUACUGACGCUGAGGCUCGAAAGCGUGGGGAGCAAACAGGAUUAGAUACCCCUGUAGUCCCUGAGCGGGCUGGCAAGGCGCAU